Molecule: ribosomal RNA, 1672 nt
Filed under: Acinetobacter baumannii 1051176
Lineage: Bacteria; Pseudomonadati; Pseudomonadota; Gammaproteobacteria; Moraxellales; Moraxellaceae
Description: bacterial LSU rRNA
Rfam family: Bacterial large subunit ribosomal RNA
Source: RNAcentral
CUGGAGGUAUCAGAAGUGCGAAUGCUGACGUGAGUAACGACAAAACGGGUGAAAAACCCGUUCGCCGAAAGACCAAGGGUUCCAGUCCAACGUUAAUCGGGGCUGGGUGAGUCGACCCCUAAGGCGAGGCCGAAAGGCGUAGUCGAUGGGAAAAUGGUUAAUAUUCCAUUACUUCUGUGUAAUGCGAUGAGAGGACGGAGAAGGCUAAAUCAGCCUGGCGUUGGUUGUCCAGGUGAAAGGAUGUAGGCAUGUAUCUUAGGCAAAUCCGGGGUACUCUAUGCUGAGAUCUGAUAGCAAGCUGUACUUGUACAGCGAAGUGGUUGAUGCCAUGCUUCCAGGAAAAGUCUCUAAGCUUCAGUUACACAGGAAUCGUACCCGAAACCGACACAGGUGGUCAGGUCGAGUAGACCAAGGCGCUUGAGAGAACUCUGCUGAAGGAACUAGGCAAAAUGGUACCGUAACUUCGGGAGAAGGUACGCUGUUGUUGGUGAUGGAACUCGCUUCCUGAGCUGACGACAGCCGCAGAAACCAGGCCGCUGCAACUGUUUAUUAAAAACAUAGCACUCUGCAAACACGAAAGUGGACGUAUAGGGUGUGAUGCCUGCCCGGUGCUGGAAGGUUAAUUGAUGGGGUUAGCGUAAGCGAAGCUCUUGAUCGAAGCCCCAGUAAACGGCGGCCGUAACUAUAACGGUCCUAAGGUAGCGAAAUUCCUUGUCGGGUAAGUUCCGACCUGCACGAAUGGCAUAAUGAUGGCGGCGCUGUCUCCAGCAGAGGCUCAGUGAAAUCGAAAUCGCUGUGAAGAUGCAGUGUACCCGCGGCUAGACGGAAAGACCCCGUGAACCUUUACUGCAGCUUGACACUGAACUUUGACCUUACUUGUGUAGGAUAGGUGGGAGGCUUUGAAGCUGGAACGCUAGUUCCAGUGGAGCCGUCCUUGAAAUACCACCCUGGUAAUGUUGAGGUUCUAACUCUGUCCCGUGAUCCGGGACGAGGACCGUGUCUGGUGGGUAGUUUGACUGGGGCGGUCUCCUCCUAAAGAGUAACGGAGGAGUACGAAGGUGCGCUCAGCGUGGUCGGAAAUCACGCGUAGAGUAUAAAGGCAAAAGCGCGCUUAACUGCGAGACCCACAAGUCGAGCAGGUACGAAAGUAGGUCUUAGUGAUCCGGUGGUUCUGUAUGGAAGGGCCAUCGCUCAACGGAUAAAAGGUACUCUGGGGAUAACAGGCUGAUACCGCCCAAGAGUUCAUAUCGACGGCGGUGUUUGGCACCUCGAUGUCGGCUCAUCUCAUCCUGGGGCUGAAGCAGGUCCCAAGGGUAUGGCUGUUCGCCAUUUAAAGAGGUACGCGAGCUGGGUUUAGAACGUCGUGAGACAGUUCGGUCCCUAUCUACCGUGGGCGCUGGAAAUUUGAGAGGAUCUGCUCCUAGUACGAGAGGACCAGAGUGGACGAACCUCUGGUGUACCGGUUGUGACGCCAGUCGCAUCGCCGGGUAGCUAUGUUCGGAAGGGAUAACCGCUGAAAGCAUCUAAGCGGGAAGCCUACCUCAAGAUAAGAUUUCCCUAGGACUUUAUGUCCUCUAAAGAGCCGUUCGAGACUAGGACGUUGAUAGGUUGGAUGUGGAAGCAUAGUGAUAUGUGAAGCUGACCAAUACUAAUUGCUCGUGAGGCUUGACUA